RNAcentral lists this ribosomal RNA (481 nucleotides) under uncultured bacterium. RNAcentral's name for it is "partial 16S ribosomal RNA". It matches the Rfam family "Bacterial small subunit ribosomal RNA", at positions 28 to 523 of the family's 1533-position model. The record is from RNAcentral.
GACGAACGCUGGCGGCGUGCUUAACACAUGCAAGUCGAGCGAUGAAGUUUCUUCGGAAAUGGAUUAGCGGCGAACGGGUGAGGAACACGUGAAGAAUCUGCCCUCCACUUUGGGAUAACACAGGGAAACCUGUGCUAAUACCGAAUAUUGAAACAUAAGUGGCAUCACUGAGUUUUGAAAGAAUUUCGGUGGAGGAUGACUUCGCGGCCUAUCAGCUAGUUGGUGAGGUAAGGGCUCACCAAGGCAACGACGGGUAGCCGGCCUGAGAGGGCGACCGGCCACACUGGGGCUGAGACACACACCAGACUCCUACGGUAGGCAUCAGGGGGGAAUAUUGGGCAAUGGAGAAAACUCUGACCCAGCUACGCCGCGUGCGGGAUGAAGGCCCUCGGGUUAUAGACCGCGUUCAGUAGGGAAGAAGCGAAACUGACGAUACCUACAAAAGAAGCACCGGCUAACUAUGUGCCAGCAGCCGCGGUAA